Non-coding RNA from Cherax quadricarinatus, 208 nucleotides. NCBI's taxonomy places the organism in Eukaryota, Metazoa, Arthropoda, Malacostraca, Decapoda, Parastacidae. The record is from RefSeq and is a predicted model, not a curated record.
CCUGGAGGACUACCUCAGUGAGAGUGUCUUCAUCGACAACCUCAAGAAAAGAUGACCAGCAGAACAUCAUCUAUACCUACAUCGGGCAGGUGGUGAUCUCAGUCAAUCCCUACACAGACCUGGGCCUCUACACAGAGGACUGCCUCGAGAAGUACAGGAAUGUCAAUUUUUACGAAGUGCCACCCCAUGUAUUCGCCAUCACCGAGAA